RNAcentral lists this ribosomal RNA (402 nucleotides) under uncultured bacterium. RNAcentral describes it as "bacterial SSU rRNA". It matches the Rfam family "Bacterial small subunit ribosomal RNA", at positions 356 to 773 of the family's 1533-position model. The record is from RNAcentral.
GGGGAAUCUUGCGCAAUGGGCGAAAGCCUGACGCAGCGACGCCGCGUGCGGGAUGACGGCCUUCGGGUUGUAAACCGCUGUCGGGAGGGACGAAGCUCUGACGGUACCUCCAAAGGAAGCACCGGCUAACUCUGUGCCAGCAGCCGCGGUAAUACAGAGGGUGCAAGCGUUGUCCGGAAUCACUGGGCGUAAAGGGCGCGUAGGCGGCCUGGUAAGUCGGGGGUGAAACGCUGCGGCUCAACCGCAGCACUGCCUUCGAGACUGUCAGGCUUGAGCACGGUAGAGGCAGGUGGAAUUCCCGGUGUAGCGGUGGAAUGCGUAGAGAUCGGGAAGAACAUCGGUGGCGAAGGCGGCCUGCUGGGCCGUUGCUGACGCUGAGGCGCGACAGCGUGGGGAGCAAAC